GACGAACGCUGGCGGCGUGCUUAACACAUGCAAGUCGAACGGAAAGGCCCUGCUUUUGUGGGGUGCUCGAGUGGCGAACGGGUGAGUAACACGUGAGUAACCUGCCCUUGACUUUGGGAUAACUUCAGGAAACUGGGGCUAAUACCGGAUAGGAGCUCCUGCUGCAUGGUGGGGGUUGGAAAGUUUCGGCGGUUGGGGAUGGACUCGCGGCUUAUCAGCUUGUUGGUGGGGUAGUGGCUUACCAAGGCUUUGACGGGUAGCCGGCCUGAGAGGGUGACCGGCCACAUUGGGACUGAGAUACGGCCCAGACUCCUACGGGAGGCAGCAGUGGGGAAUAUUGCACAAUGGGCGGAAGCCUGAUGCAGCAACGCCGCGUGCGGGAUGACGGCCUUCGGGUUGUAAACCGCUUUCGCCUGUGACGAAGCGUGAGUGACGGUAAUGGGUAAAGAAGCACCGGCUAACUACGUGCCAGCAGCCGCGGUGAUACGUAGGGUGCGAGCGUUGUCCGGAUUUAUUGGGCGUAAAGGGCUCGUAGGUGGUUGAUCGCGUCGGAAGUGUAAUCUUGGGGCUUAACCCUGAGCGUGCUUUCGAUACGGGUUGACUUGAGGAAGGUAGGGGAGAAUGGAAUUCCUGGUGGAGCGGUGGAAUGCGCAGAUAUCAGGAGGAACACCAGUGGCGAAGGCGGUUCUCUGGGCCUUUCCUGACGCUGAGGAGCGAAAGCGUGGGGAGCGAACAGGCUUAGAUACCCUGGUAGUCCACGCUGUAAACGGUGGGUACUAGGUGUGGGGUCCAUUCCACGGGUUCCGUGCCGUAGCUAACGCUUUAAGUACCCCGCCUGGGGAGUACGGCCGCAAGGCUAAAACUCAAAGGAAUUGACGGGGCCCCGCACAAGCGGCGGAGCAUGCGGAUUAAUUCGAUGCAACGCGUAGAACCUUACCUGGGUUUGACAUGGAUCGGGAGUGCUCAGAGAUGGGUGUGCCUCUUUUGGGGUCGGUUCACAGGUGGUGCAUGCCUGUCGUCAGCUCGUGUCGUGAGAUGUUGGGUUAAGUCCCGCAACGAGCGCAACCCUUGUUCACUGUUGCCAGCACGUUAUGGUGGGGACUCAGUGGAGACCGCCGGGGUCAACUCGGAGGAAGGUGGGGAUGACGUCAAGUCCUCAUGCCCCUUAUGUCCAGGGCUUCACGCAUGCUACAAUGGCUGGUACAGAGAGUGGCGAGCCUGUGAGGGUGAGCGGAUCUCGGAAAGCCGGUCUCAGUUCGGAUUGGGGUCUGCAACUCGACCUCAUGAAGUCGGAGUCGCUAGUAAUCGCAGAUCAGCAACGCUGCGGUGAAUACGUUCCCGGGGCU
RNAcentral lists this ribosomal RNA (1346 nucleotides) under uncultured bacterium. RNAcentral's name for it is "bacterial SSU rRNA". It matches the Rfam family "Bacterial small subunit ribosomal RNA", at positions 28 to 1381 of the family's 1533-position model. The record is from RNAcentral.